CUGCUCACCUCUUGCUGCCUCGGCCACAUACCUGUACAUCAACAAACAACUCGCAUAUAUGUAGUUCCGCUGCUAACACAAAUAAGGCUGGCCACAGGGUCAAGAAAGAAUGAAAUGGCUGUUAAUAUUGGAGAAAAUAAACAAACGAUAUGUAUCUCUCAAGUUUUUGUCUCAGGUAUGAAAAGAUCUGCUAUUGGUUGCUAAGCUCUGAAAGGGUGAUAGUUUUUUUGUUUUUUGGGUUACCAUUUUACAGUACAGUUUUAAUCCGCAGAACAAAAGAGAGGAAAAGACAGCUCGCCUUUCGACGGCUGGGGAUUUGCUGUGAAGAACAGUGACUGUAGUCAAUAAGCUUUUCAUCUUCACAUCAAAACAAGACCAAUGAGGGGGUGGGGAUGUUCAUGCGUGGUGCCAACAACUCAGGAUUCCAGCCUGGUUUCUCCUUCGUCAAAUGGAAAGCUAAUGGACACAUUAGCUGCCUGCUUGUCCCUCUGCGGUGAUUAGGUGGCUGUGAGGUCAUCCCUUCACUUCAGCCUCCAUCAACAUCAAAGAUCUAUCAUUUCAUUACUGCCAUGGGGAGGAGAGGAGGAAGGAGAAAUGGAUGAAUCACCAGUUGAUCCAUAGAGUCAUCCAUUUAUCCAAAACAAAUGCUUGAAAAACUCAUAUGAAAUGAGUAUUAGAAAUGGGGAAAGGCAGUGUGAUUUGCUCAUGAAACCAAUCUGUGCUAACAGAAAAUUUGUUGACGGGAUAUCAUGAUGACAUUGGGCUCCAAUAGCAACAGUGAUGCUUCCACACUAAGUACUUAAAGAUGGUGGCUGACUGACACGUUACUAUUCAGUUGAUUG
Molecule: long non-coding RNA, 842 nt
Organism: Phyllopteryx taeniolatus (common seadragon)
Lineage: Eukaryota; Metazoa; Chordata; Actinopteri; Syngnathiformes; Syngnathidae
Exons: 5
Source: RefSeq, a predicted model, not a curated record